GAUGAAGAACGCAGCGAAAUGCGAUAAGUAGUGUGAAUUGCAGAAUUCAGUGAAUCAUCGAAUCUUUGAACGCACAUUGCGCCCUUUGGUAUUCCAAAGGGCAUGCCUGUUCGAGCGUCAUUUGUACCCUCAAGCUUUGCUUGGUGUUGGGCGUCUUGUCUCUAGCUUUGCUGGAGACUCGCCUUAAAGUAAUUGGCAGCCGGCCUACUGGUUUCGGAGCGCAGCACAAGUCGCACUCUCUAUCAGCAAAGGUCUAGCAUCCAUUACGCCUUUUUUUCAACUUUUGACCUCGGAUCAGGUAGGGAUACCCGCUGAACUUAAGCAUAUCAAUAAGCGGAGGA
Molecule: unclassified non-coding RNA, 341 nt
Filed under: soil metagenome
Description: partial contains 5.8S ribosomal RNA, internal transcribed spacer 2, and large subunit ribosomal RNA
Rfam family: 5.8S ribosomal RNA (bases 1-120)
Source: RNAcentral